Myodes glareolus (Bank vole) is the source of this 429-nucleotide long non-coding RNA. RefSeq lists it as uncharacterized. Lineage: Eukaryota; Metazoa; Chordata; Mammalia; Rodentia; Cricetidae. The record is from RefSeq and is a predicted model, not a curated record.
GAGAAGCCUGGGGACUGGACUCCUGACCGCGGAGUUUGGGCUCCAGGAUGGAAGAUGGAUGGAAGGUGGAUGGAAGGACCAGGACGGCCUCCUGGAUUUCAGUGAGGAUCUGAGCUACUGGACCAUGGACAUUUUCCUGGACACCUAAGGAGGCCGCUACCACACCUCCUCUGUGAAAGCAUGGUCCGCUUUGGAGAGCUCAGUCUUCUCGCGUCUGCGAGGCUUGCCAGAGUGGGAAGGCAGACGAUCUCCCAGAAGAACUUGAGCAGCUUCUGAAAUGCCUUCUGAUUUGGGAAGUAUUUUCCUGGAACUUGCCCUCGUGGGAGUGAACCCUGGCAUGCUUAAAAAUCAUCUGAUUUUCUGACUCACUCUCCCAGUGGCCUCUACCAAGGCUCCACUGAACACUCAAUACGCACAGGAGCAGACCAU